RNAcentral lists this ribosomal RNA (2906 nucleotides) under Salmonella enterica subsp. houtenae serovar Houten. RNAcentral's name for it is "bacterial LSU rRNA". It matches the Rfam family "Bacterial large subunit ribosomal RNA". Lineage: Bacteria; Pseudomonadati; Pseudomonadota; Gammaproteobacteria; Enterobacterales; Enterobacteriaceae. The record is from RNAcentral.
UUAAGCGACCAAGCGUACACGGUGGAUGCCCUGGCAGUCAGAGGCGAUGAAGGACGUGCUAAUCUGCGAAAAGCGCCGGUAAGGUGAUAUGAACCGUUAUAGCCGGCGAUGUCCGAAUGGGGAAACCCAGUGUGAUUCGUCACACUAUCAUUAACUGAAUCCAUAGGUUAAUGAGGCGAACCGGGGGAACUGAAACAUCUAAGUACCCCGAGGAAAAGAAAUCAACCGAGAUUCCCCCAGUAGCGGCGAGCGAACGGGGAGGAGCCCAGAGCCUGAAUCAGCAUGUGUGUUAGUGGAAGCGUCUGGAAAGGCGCGCGAUACAGGGUGACAGCCCCGUACACAAAAGCGCAUGUGCUGUGAGCUCGAUGAGUAGGGCGGGACACGUGGUAUCCUGUCUGAAUAUGGGGGGACCAUCCUCCAAGGCUAAAUACUCCUGACUGACCGAUAGUGAACCAGUACCGUGAGGGAAAGGCGAAAAGAACCCCGGCGAGGGGAGUGAAACAGAACCUGAAACCGUGUACGUACAAGCAGUGGGAGCACAGGUUUACCUGUGUGACUGCGUACCUUUUGUAUAAUGGGUCAGCGACUUAUAUUCUGUAGCAAGGUUAACCGCAUAGGGGAGCCGGAGGGAAACCGAGUCUUAAUUGGGCGUUAAGUUGCAGGGUAUAGACCCGAAACCCGGUGAUCUAGCCAUGGGCAGGUUGAAGGUUGGGUAACACUAACUGGAGGACCGAACCGACUAAUGUUGAAAAAUUAGCGGAUGACCUGUGGCUGGGGGUGAAAGGCCAAUCAAACCGGGAGAUAGCUGGUUCUCCCCGAAAGCUAUUUAGGUAGCGCCUCGUGAAUUCAUCUCCGGGGGUAGAGCACUGUUUCGGCCAGGGGGCCAUCCCGGCUUACCAAUCCGAUGCAAACUGCGAAUACCGGAGAAUGUUAUCACGGGAGACACACGGCGGGUGCUAACGUCCGUCGUGAAGAGGGAAACAACCCAGACCGCCAGCUAAGGUCCCAAAGUCAUGGUUAAGUGGGAAACGAUGUGGGAAGGCCCAGACAGCCAGGAUGUUGGCUUAGAAGCAGCCAUCAUUUAAAGAAAGCGUAAUAGCUCACUGGUCGAGUCGGCCUGCGCGGAAGAUGUAACGGGGCUAAACCAUGCACCGAAGCUGCGGCAGUGACACUGAUGUGUUGUUGGGUAGGGGAGCGUUCUGUAAGCCGUUGAAGGUGUGUCGUGAGGCAUGCUGGAGGUAUCAGAAGUGCGAAUGCUGACAUAAGUAACGAUAAAGCGGGUGAAAAGCCCGCUCGCCGGAAGACCAAGGGUUCCUGUCCAACGUUAAUCGGGGCAGGGUGAGUCGACCCCUAAGGCGAGGCCGAAAGGCGUAGUCGAUGGGAAACGGGUUAAUAUUCCCGUACUUGGUGUUACUGCGAAGGGGGGACGGAGAAGGCUAUGUUGGCCGGGCGACGGUUGUCCCGGUUUAAGCGUGUAGGUGUGUGUUCCAGGUAAAUCCGGUUCACUUUAACACUGAGGCGUGACGACGAGGCACUACGGUGCUGAAGCAACAAAUGCCCUGCUUCCAGGAAAAGCCUCUAAGCCUCAGGUAACAUCAAAUCGUACCCCAAACCGACACAGGUGGUCAGGUAGAGAAUACCAAGGCGCUUGAGAGAACUCGGGUGAAGGAACUAGGCAAAAUGGUGCCGUAACUUCGGGAGAAGGCACGCUGACACGUAGGUGAAGUGGUUUACCCAUGGAGCUGAAGUCAGUCGAAGAUACCAGCUGGCUGCAACUGUUUAUUAAAAACACAGCACUGUGCAAACACGAAAGUGGACGUAUACGGUGUGACGCCUGCCCGGUGCCGGAAGGUUAAUUGAUGGGGUCAGCGCAAGCGAAGCUCCUGAUCGAAGCCCCGGUAAACGGCGGCCGUAACUAUAACGGUCCUAAGGUAGCGAAAUUCCUUGUCGGGUAAGUUCCGACCUGCACGAAUGGCGUAAUGAUGGCCAGGCUGUCUCCACCCGGGACUCAGUGAAAUUGAACUCGCUGUGAAGAUGCAGUGUACCCGCGGCAAGACGGAAAGACCCCGUGAACCUUUACUAUAGCUUGACACUGAACACUGGUCCUUGAUGUGCAGGAUAGGUGGGAGGCUUUGAAGUGUGGACGCCAGUCUGCAUGGAGCCAUCCUUGAAAUACCACCCUUUAAUGGCUGGUGUUCUAACGUGGGCCCGUGAACCGGGUUGCGGACAGUGUCUGGUGGGUAGUUUGACUGGGGCGGUCUCCUCCUAAAGAGUAACGGAGGAGCACGAAGGUUGGCUAAUCCUGGUCGGACAUCAGGAGGUUAGUGCAAUGGCAUAAGCCAGCUUGACUGCGAGCGUGACGGCGCGAGCAGGUGCGAAAGCAGGUCAUAGUGAUCCGGUGGUUCUGAAUGGAAGGGCCAUCGCUCAACGGAUAAAAGGUACUCCGGGGAUAACAGGCUGAUACCGCCCAAGAGUUCAUAUCGACGGCGGUGUUUGGCACCUCGAUGUCGGCUCAUCACAUCCUGGGGCUGAAGUAGGUCCCAAGGGUAUGGCUGUUCGCCAUUUAAAGUGGUACGCGAGCUGGGUUUAGAACGUCGUGAGACAGUUCGGUCCCUAUCUGCCGUGGGCGCUGGAAGAUUGAGGGGGGCUGCUCCUAGUACGAGAGGACCGGAGUGGACGCAUCACUGGUGUUCGGGUUGUCAUGCCAAUGGCACUGCCCGGUAGCUACAUGCGGAAGAGAUAAGUGCUGAAAGCAUCUAAGCACGAAACUUGCCCCGAGAUGAAUCUUCCCUGAGCCUUUAAGGCUCCUGAAGGAACGUUGAAGACGACGACGUUGAUAGGCCGGGUGUGUAAGCGCAGCGAUGCGUUGAGCUAACCGGUACUAAUGAACCGUGAGGCUUAACCUU